Mustela lutreola (European mink) is the source of this 2471-nucleotide RNA transcript. It is a transcript of the gene named PWWP domain containing 2B, with no coding region annotated. The transcript is spliced from 4 exons. Lineage: Eukaryota; Metazoa; Chordata; Mammalia; Carnivora; Mustelidae. The record is from RefSeq and is a predicted model, not a curated record.
GGCGGCGGCGGCGGGGCGGGGGCGGGGGCGCGCGGGCCGGGACGCGGCGGGAGCAUGGAGCCGCGGGCCGGCUGCCGGCUGCCGGUGCGGGUGGAGCAGGUCGUCAACGGCGCGCUGCUGGUCACCGUGAGCUGCGGCGGGCGCAGCUUCGCCGGGAUCCUGCUGGACUGCACGAAAAAGUCCGGCCUCUUUGGCCUGCCCCCGUCGGCUCCGCUGCCACAGCCCGAGGACCCCCCUGUCAACGGCUGCAACAGCCCGGCCCCCCCAGAGCAGGACGGAGAGGCAAUGCAGCUGGGGACGGGCCCUCCGCCAGCGCCCUGCGGGGACCCGGCUCCCGAGACCUCGGGCCCCAAGCCACCCCCGCCUCUCGUGCCGCCGUUCCCGCCGUACUUUGAGGGAGCCCCCUUCCCUCCCCCACUCUGGCUGAGAAGCACCUACCGGCAGUGGGUCCCGCAGCCGCCGCCCCGGGCCAUCAAGAGGACCCGCCGGCGCCUGUCCCGGAACCGAGAGCCCGGCCGGCUGGCCCUGAGCCCCAUCCGUCUGCGGCCACGCCAAGUGCUCUGCGAGAAGUGCAAAAGCACCCUGAGCCCCCCCGAGGCCGGCCCCGGCCCCCCAGCUGCCCCUCAGCCGCGCCGCAGGGCGGGCAGCGUCCCCGGCCCCGACACAGAACCCCGCAAGCUCGCGGACCCUGAGGGCGGAGGGGACAGCGCGGCCAGCGCCACGAGGAGGAGCAAGAGAGAGAAGCGGCAGGAGGGCAAGGCCCGGGUGCCCCGGAGCCCGGCCAUCAAGAUCUCCUACAGCACGCCGCAGGGCACGGGCGAGGUGGUGGAGAUCCCCUCUCGCGUGCACGGGUCCCUGGAGCCCUUCUGCCCCUCUCAGGCACACGGGGGCGGCCAGGACCCCGCUGGGCCCCCCGCCUCCAUCCCCAAGCUAAAGCUGACGCGUCCCGGGCCCCCUGGCACCGGCCUGCCGCCCCCCAAGAUCCGCUUGAAGCCCCGGCCCCGGGGGGCUGGGGAGCGGGAGCCCGUGUACCGGGCCGAGCUGGUGGAGGCGCUUAACGGCCACGGGCGGGGCCCCCGGGCCGGCUCCCCCGCUCGCCUCGGCCACGGCUCUGCCGGCCGUGGGCCCGUGGCCUCGUCUUCCGGAAGCUCUGACGAGGACGAGGACUUCAAGCCGUGCGCCCAGGCUCAGCGCGGGCGAGAGGGCCUGGCUUUCCUUGCCACCUGCCCCGAGAGGGGGCCAGGGUGCGCCGGCGAGUCGGUGUGGAGCAGCGACAGUCCGGACGAGUCCAGAUCGUCCAGCUCGGAAGUCACGUUCCCAGACACGUGUGACCUCUCGUCGGGCGACGGCGCGUCGGUGCGGUCCUCGUCCAAGCACGCGAGGCCGACGGUCCCGCCGCUCACGGUCCGGCUGCACACACAGAGCGUCUCCACGUGCGUUACCGGGGACGGAAGGACGGUGGCCGUGGGGGACAUCGUGUGGGGUAAGAUUCACGGUUUCCCCUGGUGGCCAGCGCGCGUGCUCGACCUCAGUCUCAGCCAGAAGGAGGACGGGGCGCCCUCCUGGCCAGAAGCCAAGGUCUCGUGGUUUGGGUCCCCGACGACGUCGUUCUUGUCGACUUCGAAGCUCUCCCCGUUCUCGGAGUGUUUCAAACUGCGGUUUAACCGUAAGAAGAAGGGAAUGUACCGGAAGGCCAUCACGGAGGCCGCCAACGCCGCGCAGCACGUGGCCCCGGAAAUAAGGGAGCUCUUGACCCAGUUUGAGACCUAGGCCGGGCGACCAGGAACGUGCUGAGAAGGGACGAGGGCCCCCCAGCGAGCAUCUGGCGAGGAAGCUGACCUGGACUGGGGAUCCGGGAAGGCUUCCUGGAAGAGGUGACAUAUGGCUGAGCGCGAACGGUCACGGACAAUGAAAGCACAGCCGGGCUGUCUGGAACUUCCGACCUUGGGGCGCCCUCCACGUCCCCCAUUCCGUCUGAGGGACCCGCGUGCCUUCUGGCCAGCUGCGUGCGGAAACGUGCCCGGCCCGGGGGUCCGCCUGCCCGCGGUUCCCCAGAGAGAAGCAGGCGUGUCCCGCACAGGGGACGGCGCCCCCGGGCACAGGCUCCUCUGUGGAUGUAUUUGUUCCCUCGUCAGACUCCGGGUGUUCUGGGCUGUGACGUUCCGGGAGCCCAGCCACAGCCUACUGCUGCCCGUGGAGCGGGGAGAGGCACCCCAGUGUCAGGGCUCAGGGCCGGGCCCAGCGCGGGGUCUCUGCGUCCUUGAGAACCGGGCAGCCUGCCUCCCGUACGUCCCUCCCAAAGCUGGGGUCCUGCCCUGUGCCCAGCACCUGCCCCGGGGCCGCGACCUGGCCCGCGUGUGUACGAACAGGCUCCUCCCUCCUUUCUGUCACUUUAAAGACCAAAAACAGAAACCGAAAAUGGCUUCUGCUCUUUGUUGAAACGUGAGCGAGAAUAAAGGAAGGUCUGCGCA